Molecule: ribosomal RNA, 497 nt
Filed under: uncultured bacterium
Lineage: Bacteria
Description: partial 16S ribosomal RNA
Rfam family: Bacterial small subunit ribosomal RNA
Source: RNAcentral
GAUGAACGCUGGCGGCGUGCCUAAUACAUGCAAGUCGAGCGAACGGACGAGAAGCUUGCUUUUCUGAUGUUAGCGGCGGACGGGUGAGUAACACGUGGAUAACCUACCUAUAAGACUGGGAUAACUUCGGGAAACCGGAGCUAAUACCGGAUAAUAUUUUGAACCGCAUGGUUCAAAAGUGAAAGACGGUCUUGCUGUCACUUAUAGAUGGAUCCGCGCUGCAUUAGCUAGUUGGUAAGGUAACGGCUUACCAAGGCAACGAUGCGUAGCCGACCUGAGAGGGUGGUCGGCCACACUGGAACUGAGACGCGGUCAAGACGCCUACGGGAGGCAGCAGUAGGGAAUCGUCCGCAAUGGGCGAAAGCCUGACGGAGCAACGCCGCGUGAGUGAUGAAGGUCUUCGGAUCGUAAAACUCUGUUAUUAGGGAAGAACAUAUGUGUAAGUAACUGUGCACAUCUUGACGGUACCUAAUCAGAAAGCCACGGCUAACUACGUG